RNAcentral lists this ribosomal RNA (110 nucleotides) under uncultured bacterium. Its description in RNAcentral is "partial 16S ribosomal RNA". It matches the Rfam family "Bacterial small subunit ribosomal RNA", at positions 1373 to 1482 of the family's 1533-position model. The record is from RNAcentral.
CCCGGGCCUUGUACACACCGCCCGUCACACCAUGGGAGUUGGUUUUACCCGAAGACGGUGCGCUAACCGCAAGGAGGCAGCCGGCCACGGUAAGGUCAGCGACUGGGGUG